This 971-nucleotide long non-coding RNA is filed under the name Marmota monax (woodchuck). Lineage: Eukaryota; Metazoa; Chordata; Mammalia; Rodentia; Sciuridae. The record is from RNAcentral.
AAUAUGAAUGUGUACUGUUAUUUCACAUUUACAUCGAAAUAACCUAUUGGCUUUUAGCUGACCUGGAUAUAUAGGCUCCUGCUAUAGCAUUUUUGGAGACAAACAAGUUUUCUUUUUUUAUUUUUGUUGUUGAAGGCUGGCUUGACAAGUAAAGAAGGUUUAAAAAGUAAUUAUUGCAUUUGUACACUCAUCCAUUCAUGCAUGCAGACAUGGACUUUAGGCAUUUUUUUCAUUCUACCAAACACCCUGUGGGUGCCCAGCACAUCCCAGAUAGUAGGUUAGGUGCUGAAGACUCCAAGGUAAAUAAACAGGGGUUCCAGCCUCAAGGAGCAACUGUUCUAGAAGAAGAGACAGAUUAUGACAAUGCUCAAACCAGCCUCUGUGAUAGCCCCCCACGGUCCCCACCUCCCUGUAUUCACACCCAAUGGGAUAGCUCCCUGUUGUAUGCAGGCUGGUCCCAGGGAGUCACUUCAAACAAAGAGAAUACAGCCAAGGCCAUAGGACUCUGUCUCCUGACUUGGACUGUCCUCUCUCCCUCGCUCCCUUGGUUGGAAGGAAGCUGGGCUGCCAUAUUGUGAACUCUUCCAUGGAGAGACCAUGUGGCAAUGAACUGCUAUCUCUGCCCAGUAGCCAGUGUGGACCUGCGGCCUGCCAAUAGCCACAUGAAUGAGUGUGGGAGUGGAUCUUCUGAGGCCCACCAACAGCUGCGCCAGUAAAACCGGGUCCUGUGCUCGUUCACAGUGAUGUGUGGGACUCUAAGCAGAUGCUCUGAGCUCAGCCCACCUGGAUUCCUGAUGCUCUGGAAUUCUGAGAUCUUAAAUGUUUGUUGUUUUAAGCCACCAAGUUUUGGGGUACCUUAUUAUGCAGCAUCAGACAGCAAAGACAAGAUGCUUUCUAUCGUAGGAGUAGAGGCGGCAGUGAGAGAAGUCGGGCAAGGUUCCCUAAGGAGGGGGUGGUCCUGGCUAGAGAAG